This 505-nucleotide ribosomal RNA is filed under the name uncultured bacterium. RNAcentral's name for it is "partial 16S ribosomal RNA". It matches the Rfam family "Bacterial small subunit ribosomal RNA", at positions 28 to 507 of the family's 1533-position model. The record is from RNAcentral.
GACGAACGCUGGCGGCGUGCCUAAUACAUGCAAGUGGGACGCAAGGAAACACACUGUGCUUGCACACCGUGUUUUCUUGAGUCGCGAACGGGUGAGUAACGCGUAGGUAACCUGCCUAUUAGCGGGGGAUAGCUAUUGGAAACGAUAGCUAAUACCGCAUAAUAUUAAUUAUUGCAUGAUAAUUGAUUGAAAGAUGCAAGCGCAUCACUAGUAGAUGGACCUGCGUUGUAUUAGCUAGUUGGUAAGGUAAGAGCUUACCAAGGCGACGAUACAUAGCCGACCUGAGAGGGUGAUCGGCCACACUGGGACUGAGACACGGCCCAGACUCCUACGGGAGGCAGCAGUAGGGAAUCUUCGGCAAUGGACGAAAGUCUGACCGAGCAACGCCGCGUGAGUGAAGAAGGUUUUCGGAUCGUAAAGCUCUGUUGUAAGUCAAGAACGUGUGUGAGAGUGGAAAGUUCACACAGUGACGGUAGCUUACCAGAAAGGGACGGCUAACUACGUG